UUCAAAAUUCUAUUUUCAGAGGUUGAUACAAUUGGCUUGGGAUAUUUUCGCAGGAAUAGAUGCAUGAAAAUGAGAUGGCGAGCUCCUACGAAUACCUAAUAAAUAGAGCAUUUUUUUAUCUGGAGUAGACCAGAACGAUGAACAACUGGUAGAAGUGUUUGAGCGAGACGGUUUUUUAUGCAGUUGAAGUAGCUAUUGUUGAACCAAAAU
Molecule: long non-coding RNA, 210 nt
Filed under: Medicago truncatula (barrel medic)
Lineage: Eukaryota; Viridiplantae; Streptophyta; Magnoliopsida; Fabales; Fabaceae
Description: long non-coding RNA (MTRU_LNC001805)
Source: RNAcentral